AAUUUCUCAACCUCACCAGCUUUGUCAUGAAGUCGUGUGUAGGCUUGGAUGUGGGGGUUGCAGGUCCACUACCGUGGUCUGCUCCUCUGAAAUGUAUUAGUGGGUUAGGCCCCUAAUCUAUUGGUGUGAUAAUUAUCUACGCCGUGGAUUGGAUGGCUAAUAUAGACCUGCUUCUAACCGUCCUUACUGGACAACUCU
Molecule: unclassified non-coding RNA, 198 nt
Filed under: Coprinopsis echinospora
Lineage: Eukaryota; Fungi; Basidiomycota; Agaricomycetes; Agaricales; Psathyrellaceae
Description: ITS2
Source: RNAcentral